UAUCUUUUAUGCCAAAAAACGAAAAAAAUCGCUAAAGUGUACUGUGAAGAUAAAACUUCGUUAUGUGAUAAACUGAAAUGAAUGCAAUUAUUCGUGAGUGUCGUGUAUUUGCAUUGGUUAUAAGGAUGUCAAAAUAGAGAAACAAAUUUCGAAAUAAAUAUAUCUUGUACAUUAAAACAUGUGAUUUAUCAAAAAGAGAUAACACAAAAUACAUGGUUACUCAGGACCGGCAAAGAUUAUGUAAUCUUUUCUGAGCUACGCCCUCUGCUUAUCUUCGCACGUAACACCGAAAUUUGGAAAAAAUAAAGCAUUAAAGGAAUGCUUUUCAUUGAAAAUUCUUAAGGAUUUUAGAAUUGUUAUGCAGAGACAAAUGAAAGCGAAAUUUUUGUCACAAACGAUGAAAUUAAUAAGAUAGAAUCACUGCAGGAAUUUUAUUUUUAUUCGAUUACAAUUAAUAACUUGGAUCCAGUUAAAAUAUAAAUUUUGCAGCAUGAUUGAAUUAUUGUAGAAAUACAUUGUAUUUUGAUAUCUAAUCAAAAUGAAUUUAUCAAGAAUAUCACUUAUCAAAUGAAAAUGAAAUCCGUUUGGAAUCAGCUGAUAAAAGUUAUUCGUUAUAAAACAAUUUGUGGAUGCAUGAUAAAUUAAAUAAACAUGAGGAUCACAUCAUGUUACUUUAAAAGGCUCAUAAUAACUGCAUUGAUAAUUGCAGUAAUAUUUUGUAUUGGUCAAGUACUUAGAUCUGUGCCAGGAUUUAAUGAUGACCUUUCAAAUUAUGACAAACUUGUGCAUAUGUCACAAUUGAUAAAAGAAUCGGUUGAACAAGAUACCUUGUUUCUGGGAAAUGGAAUUCCAGCAUGUAAAUUACCAGAAUUAAAGGUUUCCAAUCCAGAAAUAAUGAAAUUUAUACAUAAUGUACCUCCCAUAAUUUGUACACCUGAAGAUUGGGUAAAAGUUGACAAAACAAGGCUUAUAAUCGAUAAGGAAAUAAAAAAUAAGUAUGGACGAUUAAUGUGUACAUUUAGUGAGAUAAUUAGGAUAGAUGAUUUUAAUAUAAAAUAUUCAGAACCAGUGGAAGCCGAUGACUUUUAUAUUCCCAGAUAUAGUGAUUUUGUAGAUGUAAAAUGCACUUCAGAAAGUAACAAAAAAUGGCAUAGUGUCCUAGCUGGUGUGAAAUUAGACUUUGAAAUCAAAAGGAAGUAUAGUUGGGAUAAUGUUCCAAAUAAUUCACUCAAAUUAAAUGUAUUAAUGUUUGGUUUUGAUUCUUUAUCUCGUAAUACAUUCAUCCGAAAAUUACCUAAAACUUACCAAUAUAUGAAGCACAAUUUGAAUACAUUAGUUUUAGAAGGAUAUAAUAUAGUAGGAGAUGGUACUCCGCAAGCUCUUAUUCCCAUUCUAACGGGAAAAAUUGAACUUGAAUUACCAGAGACACGUAAACGUAUGGGUCAGAAAGCACAAUAUGUUAAUAUAUAUCCAAUGGUGUGGAAAGAAUAUAAAGAAAAGGGAUAUAUAACAGGAUUUAUGGAGGAUGUUCAUCAUAUUGGAACAUUUACUUAUCGUUUAAAAGGUUUUAAGGAACAACCCACCAAUCAUUAUAUGAGAACAUUUUACUUGGCCGCUGAACGGUAUUUUCGUAAUUACAAUAAGUUUUGUAUGGGAAGCAUUCCACGCCACGUAGUAAUGCUAAAUUAUAUAAAAGCAAUUUUCGAUACUUACAAAGAUGAACCGAAAUUUGUAUUUGGCUUUCAUGGAGAAUUAUCUCAUGAUUCCUAUAACGAUAUUGGUGCUGCGGAUGAAGAUUUGUACCUUUGGGUAAAGCAGUUACAAGACUCUGGUCACUUGAACAAUACCAUUUUAAUACUAAUGAGUGAUCAUGGUCAUAGAUUUGCAGAAAUUCGUAAUACUUUGCAAGGUAAACAAGAAGAACGAUUACCGUUCUUUUCAUUCACUUUCCCACCUUGGUUCAAAAAAGUACAUUCACGUGCCUAUGAAAAUUUCUUACAUAAUACAAAGCAUUUAACAACACCGUUUGAUAUACAUAAAACAUUACAAGCUAUAUUAAAUUUUGAGAGUCCAAAAGAAGGAGAUCGUUAUCAAAGAGCUAUUAAUUUAUUUGACAAGAUACCUUUGGAGAGAACAUGCGCGGAUGCAUUCAUAGAGCCACAUUGGUGUGCUUGUCUUAGUUGGAAAGAAAUAGAAGUUGAUAAUCCCAAUGUUAUUGCCGCUGCCAAGUUUUUUGUUCAAUUCCUUAAUUCCUAUACAGAGGAACACCGUGAUAUAUGUGAAACUUUAAAGUUAAAUCAAAUAUUGUGGUCUGCUAAACUUUUACCCACUAAAGGUUUAUUAAAUUUUCAAAAAUCUGGAGAUCAGGAUGGCUUUGUGGCAGAUCUCAGUGCGAAAACUAAGUUAACGUCUGAGAUAUAUCAGAUAAAAGUAAAAACAGAACCAGGUGGUGGACUAUUUGAAGCAAGCAUUACUUAUAACGUUAAUAAGAAUCUUUUUAAUACUAGAAUUUCUGAUGUCAGUAGAAUUAACAAAUAUGGAUCGCAAGCUAGCAAAGUGAGAAGAAUCAUAAUGAGGAGGAGUCAAUUGAUUUAUCUACACAUAAUUUUUGUGGAUUGGAUAAAGAGGAAGAAAAAGAGGAUGGAAGUAUAACUUCUGAAUCACAUGUACUGAAAUCCCAUUUUGCUUAUAUUUUAAACAAUGAAAUAACUUUGAAGACUGAUCUACAUGAAAACAAUCCUAAUACGUCCUAUGUAUCUUAUGAUCCUGAAGAAUUAUGUAUUAACGAGUUGUGUCCUAUACUCGCAGAAGAUUUAGAUACUAUAUCUGACAUUUCUUCAGUAAUAACACAAGAUACACCUCAGCACUCAAAGAAAGAAUAUAUAGAUUUACUACCUGU
RNA transcript from Vespa velutina, 2899 nucleotides. RefSeq lists it as uncharacterized. The record is from RefSeq and is a predicted model, not a curated record. Lineage: Eukaryota; Metazoa; Arthropoda; Insecta; Hymenoptera; Vespidae. The transcript has 11 exons.